Molecule: long non-coding RNA, 2143 nt
Organism: Gallus gallus (chicken)
Lineage: Eukaryota; Metazoa; Chordata; Aves; Galliformes; Phasianidae
Source: Ensembl
AUGACUAUUAGUGCUGCCAGUCCAGGGAGGUGCUUUCUUCUGAGGUGGCUGUAUGCUGCAGAGAUCGGGGUGCAGCUCUCCCCCCACAGCAACAAGGACACCCAUGUAUUUAUCAGACCGUAGAGAGCAUAUCAAUGCAGAGAGAAUGAGAUAUUUCAACCCACGUUCAGCUUCCAAGCAGAGCCUGGCCCUGCACACAGGCUGCCUCCCCUCACAGCACACUUCUCAGCCAGCACACAGCAGCAGCUCGCUCUCUGCUCCAUGAAUGAAAGGCAAGCUUCUUCCUUUCACCCAAGGCUGCCUGUUGAACAGCCUCCCAUCACGAUGCACCAAGCUAUGUGGAAUUUACAUCAGAGCUGUGAGAUUGAUUUUCCUCAUGUCCCUCCCCAACAAUGCUGGCAGGAAGGACGCCAGGCUUCCUGCAUUGCCCACAUGAAACCCACACUUGAUGAUGAUGUUCUCUGCUGCUCACACUGGUGAGCACUGUUCAUGAACCACCCUUGGAUGCAGCCUAAGGUACUCAUCUCCAUUACCAGCUAUACAAACAGGAAUCGAAAUGAGUACAAUUGCAACCCACGCAUGUGAGCUCUGUGGAUGUCAGCAGCAGGAGAGCUCCCCUCCUUCAGACAGCACCAGCAAACCGCUGUGGCACCAUCUGAGGUAUACCCACAGCCCUCCGCUGGUUGCUUUCCCUGCUGUGUUGUUGGUUGGGUUUUUGUGUAGUGCUGAGGUGAGAGGCUGAGGAUGCUCCUGAGAAAGAAAGUGAGCUCCUGGCUGCAGAACUGCAACUGUUCGGGGUCAGUUCCAUCUGUGGGGAAAAAAAAGCAAUUGUCAGACAGGAAGAAGAGGAAGGAUGACAUGCUGCUCUGUGCUCUGUGCUGCUGUUCUGAGCUCUGUGCUGCUGCUCUGUGCUGCAGUUCUGUGCUGGUGCUGAAGUACUGCUCCAUUGUCCUCACAGAUCACUCAGAACGUUGCGUGUGGUACCUUUUCCUACAUUUUCACUGAAUAUAGCUGGUGAGAGAAAGCAAAGGACGCUUCUUUGGGAGGACAGUUGGACAUGUGGGGUGUGACAGGGGUGUCCUUGCUCUCUCUGGGGCCUGGAGCUGUGCGUUGGGCAUUGCAGCACUGGGGGAAGCCUGGAGCAGGUCCUGCAUGGAGCUGUGAGCGGCUUCUAAGGACAAGCACACGCACAUGGGAAUAUGAGCUAUUCACUCAUCAGUUUGCUGCAUCCAACUCAGCCCCCGAGUGACAAGAAUAAAGUACCCUGCAACUGUUCGUCCCUUUUUUAAUGAACUCAUAGCCUCGUUUGUAUGCUAAAUGAGGAAUCAAUACGAUCAGACCACGAAAAAUAUGUAUUCUGUAUAGAUUGGACUCGAAGAUAUUAGCAACCGAAGUGUUACCAUACGUUAUGCCACCAUCUAUAGAGGUAAUGGAAAAUAUUGAUUUCAAAUGCCUUUGCUAAAUAUGAGUGUGCAUUUUAAAACUUACUCAUUCUUGGAAUUUCAUCUCUGCCUUCAGAAACUCUGUGAGGAUUCCUGAACAACUUCUCCAUAGGGCUUUCUCUUCUGGGCCUGGUUAGUGUAGAAGCACCUCGACACCACGAAGAUUUUUUGUCUGCCUGUGGCAGAGAGGCAGGCGGUGUUGCUGGGAUGGCACAUCAUCGAAGCUGAGUGACAGCAAUCAGAACAACCACUGCUUGGCAUAUAUUAAUGAAAAUGUGUUCUGUGUCAGGCUUGUGCAGGGCUUUAUGUCCAAGCAUUAACUUACAUCACAUCCCAACAACAGGAGCUACAAAUCAGUGGACGUUUACAUAACAUGGGCACGCCUGCUUACACAACGUAGGCAUGGCUUUUACUUUGUUACCACUCAUGCAGGAGCACUGCUAUCCCUAACCAUGCUAAGCGUUCACAGCUGAAGCAGUAAUGGAGUCGGCACCGACAGUUCUGUGUGACGUAUGAGAACACUGAAGAAGCGCGGAGCCAGCAGGCAGUGAAGAGCAGCUCUGCCAAAUGCUUCAUGCAGUCACACUAUAAUUUCUGAAAGGCCAUUCCUGAGAGGAUGGAGGCACUGAGGAGAUGAUGGAUUCAUGCAGUGUUGUACAUCCCAUCUCAACGGUUUUUGAAUGAAACGUUUCCACACUUCC